RNAcentral lists this long non-coding RNA (722 nucleotides) under Pan troglodytes (chimpanzee). Its description in RNAcentral is "long non-coding RNA NONPTRT013209". The record is from RNAcentral. Lineage: Eukaryota; Metazoa; Chordata; Mammalia; Primates; Hominidae.
CUGAAAACACACAUACCAUUAAUAUGUGAAGGUGUUGGGGAAAAAACGCACUCUUCUUUCUGGGAGGAAACUAGACUGCUUUAGAAAUCACUGCAGGAAUCACAGAGUAAAAUGGAGAAGAAACCAGGGAUGUGUCAUAACACAGUAGUCUGAAAAAGGGCCAGGUAGAAGAGUGGGAAGGACUAUGCCUCUGGCAAGUGCAAGUUCAUAAAUCCCAGUUUCUUCAAGUUACGAGGCACAUCUGCAUCCCCAGAUGAUGGCUACUGGUCAGAACACUGAACUCAUACCAAAAGCUGCUGUUGUUGACAGUUUAAUGUCUAUGGAUCUGACUCGGAGAGAAAUGUGCCACUUACUGAAUCACCAACACCAUAUCUUUGGUGUUGAGGUGGGGCACGCUUACUUUUUCAUCUGAAGAUUGACACAGCCCACCAAGAACAAUUUGAAAGAGACAGGAUUGCUGCUGAAAAGGCAUGACAUCAAGCCACACAAAUUGGAUGUUAAGACUAGAGAUUAACUUGUGAACUUGGCAGGAAUAGGUCGUAUGACGAGAGCUGAAACGUACAACUGGAUCUUGGUCAUGCCAUUCCUCAAAGGAGAUGAAGAAAUCCUGAAUUUUUAAUUUAUGCUUAAUAGCCAUGGCUUUGUCUCUACAGAGUGUUUGUGAUAUAUUUCUAAGCAUUGGUAAAUUAAUUCUUACUGCACCAACUUGGUGGAAAUCUGUU